RNAcentral lists this transfer RNA (74 nucleotides) under Chloroflexota bacterium. RNAcentral describes it as "tRNA-Lys". It matches the Rfam family "tRNA". From Rfam's summary of the family: Transfer RNA (tRNA) molecules are approximately 80 nucleotides in length. Their secondary structure includes four short double-helical elements and three loops (D, anti-codon, and T loops). Lineage: Bacteria; Bacillati; Chloroflexota. The record is from RNAcentral.
UGGACGUUGGUGAACAGGUCUAUACCAGACUUUUAAUCCGGGUGUCGUGGGUUCGAGCCCCACACGGCCCACCA